CUUGGUCAUUUAGAGGAGUAAAAGUCGUAACAAGGUUUCCGUAGGUGAACCUGCGGAAGGAUCAUUAGAGGGGCGCAUUACGCGCAGUCUAUUGUCUCGAAAGAGAUGGUAGACGACCAUACGAGGAAGGUACGAUUGAGGAUUAACAAAACCCAUGAACAACGGAUCUCUAGGCUCCUGCAUCGAUGAAGAACGCAGCGAAACGCGAUAGAUAAUGUGAAUUGCAGAAUUACGUGAAUCAUCGAGUCUUUGAACGCACAUUGCGCCCUUUGGUAUUCCGAGGGGCAUGCCUGUCUGAGCGUCAGUGAACUUCACAGGGAUUUGUUUGUAUUUGCUUGCAUGUCAAACAAGUUCUAGUGAUUGAGUGUGACUUGUCUCACUUGAAAUGCAUCACGAUUGGUGUCAUAGGUUCGCCUCACCAAGAAUUAACGUCUUGACCUCAGAUCAGGUAGGGUUACCCGCUGAACUUAA
Molecule: ribosomal RNA, 471 nt
Filed under: uncultured fungus
Lineage: Eukaryota; Fungi
Description: eukaryotic LSU rRNA
Rfam family: 5.8S ribosomal RNA (bases 151-304)
Source: RNAcentral